UUUAGCGUGUAAGAAGGACUCCUAAACUCCUUCUUUCUGUGAGGUAUAUGGGGCACAAAGGACUUGGUAUUGGGCGAUAUAAAAUUCUAAGAGUCCAAAGAUGUUUGGACUCUUAUCUCUUACUCAAAAUCUAACUUCUCUUAUCCUAUUUAAACCAUACCUUAUGGGAUGGUUUGAGUGGCUGAAAAGAUCAGAUUUUGGACACCAACAAGAAAGGAGA
Molecule: long non-coding RNA, 220 nt
Filed under: Elaeis guineensis (African oil palm)
Lineage: Eukaryota; Viridiplantae; Streptophyta; Magnoliopsida; Arecales; Arecaceae
Description: long non-coding RNA (EGUI_LNC035274)
Source: RNAcentral